Tetranychus urticae (two-spotted spider mite) is the source of this 455-nucleotide non-coding RNA. Lineage: Eukaryota; Metazoa; Arthropoda; Arachnida; Trombidiformes; Tetranychidae. The record is from RefSeq and is a predicted model, not a curated record.
ACUUUCAUUCAACUCAUGAUGAUCCUCAAAUACUCGAUAUUUGAUGGAUUUACAAAAAUAUCUUUUUACUGUUUUUAUAAAAAGUUUUUACUGUUACUAGGCUGUUGCUUGAUUCACCACUUUGACAGUCUAUUCUGGUAGUCUCGCUUAAAUGUCACGAUUAUAUAUCAGUUCGAGGUUUAUCAACUAGAUGAAUCUUUGCAGAAUAAUCAAAUGGAGAAUUCAAUCAUUGGAAUCACUAGUUGGAGCACAACCAGCGGCAAUACACAUAGUCAUACAAACUCCCAAUGCCGCAUUGCAGGCGAGCACGGAAGCUGGAGCACUGGCACCAAAAGUAACACCCAUUGUGGCACCAGCAGCAGCGUAACAGGCAACAGCGGCGGCAUUACAUCCAGUUUGGCAGAUACCAUAAGCUGCUGGUCCAGCUUCAAUGAAGCUGACCAACAUGAACGAAA